AACGAACGCUGGCGGCAGGCCUAACACAUGCAAGUCGAGCGCGCCUUCGGGUGAGCGGCGGACGGGUGAGUAACGCGUGGGAAUAUGCCCUUCUCUACGGAAUAGUCCUGGGAAACUGGGGGUAAUACCGUAUACGCCCUUUGGGGGAAAGAUUUAUCGGGGAAGGAUUAGCCCGCGUUGGAUUAGGUAGUUGGUGGGGUAAUGGCCUACCAAGCCGACGAUCCAUAGCUGGUUUGAGAGGAUGAUCAGCCACACUGGGACUGAGACACGGCCCAGACUCCUACGGGAGGCAGCAGUGGGGAAUCUUAGACAAUGGGGGCAACCCUGAUCUAGCCAUGCCGCGUGAGCGAUGAAGGCCUUAGGGUUGUAAAGCUCUUUCAGCUGGGAAGAUAAUGACGGUACCAGCAGAAGAAGCCCCGGCUAACUCCGUG
Molecule: ribosomal RNA, 431 nt
Filed under: uncultured bacterium
Lineage: Bacteria
Description: partial 16S ribosomal RNA
Rfam family: Bacterial small subunit ribosomal RNA
Source: RNAcentral